Gossypium hirsutum (cotton) is the source of this 107-nucleotide non-coding RNA. NCBI's taxonomy places the organism in Eukaryota, Viridiplantae, Streptophyta, Magnoliopsida, Malvales, Malvaceae. The record is from Rfam.
AACCCUUGGUGAGGGAACCUUCUCAAAUGAUCCCUGUAUCUCUCCCCUGCAUCAUAGAGUGUUUCUAAAUCCAUCUGCACAAAAGAAGAGAUAUCAUUACGUAAUUU